CCUACGGGAGGCAGCAGUGAGGAAUAUUGGUCAAUGGACGGAAGUCUGAACCAGCCAUGCCGCGUGCAGGAAGACGGCUCUAUGAGUUGUAAACUGCUUUUGUACAAGGGUAAACCUGAAUACGUGUAUUCAGCUGAAAGUACUGUACGAAUAAGGAUCGGCUAACUCCGUGCCAGCAGCCGCGGUAAUACGGAGGAUCCAAGCGUUAUCCGGAUUUAUUGGGUUUAAAGGGUGCGUAGGCGGAUUGAUAAGUUAGAGGGGAAAUGUCCGAGCUUAACUCGGGAACUGCCUCUAAUACGGUUGAUCUAGAGAGUAGAUGCGGUAGGCGGAAUGUAUGGUGUAGCGGUGAAAUGCUUAGAGAUCAUACAGAACACCGAUUGCGAAGGCAGCUUACCAAUCUAUAUCUGACGUUGAGGCACGAAAGCGUGGGGAGCAAACAGGAUUAGAUACCCAGGUAGUC
Molecule: ribosomal RNA, 460 nt
Filed under: uncultured bacterium
Lineage: Bacteria
Description: partial 16S ribosomal RNA
Rfam family: Bacterial small subunit ribosomal RNA
Source: RNAcentral